This 222-nucleotide long non-coding RNA is filed under the name Lathyrus oleraceus (garden pea). Its description in RNAcentral is "Pisum sativum (pea) long non-coding RNA (PSAT_LNC025784)". Lineage: Eukaryota; Viridiplantae; Streptophyta; Magnoliopsida; Fabales; Fabaceae. The record is from RNAcentral.
AGGAAAGGAAAUGCUCGAAGUAAACCUGAAAAGAGGAAAGGAAAUGUAUAAAGUAAAUGUGCCAACAAGGAAAUCAGAAUAAAUCUCCCAAAUGGUAUCCCACAAGCAAAGUGGAAUAUCCAGCGAGCUAUCCCUGCAGAAGUCAUGUGAGCCUUCACAAAAACUCAACAAAAGGGUUAGUGAAACAAGAUAAGGAUUAGGAGAAAACAUGCUAUGACAAAC